Small nucleolar RNA from Phyllopteryx taeniolatus (common seadragon), 67 nucleotides. The record is from RefSeq and is a predicted model, not a curated record. Lineage: Eukaryota; Metazoa; Chordata; Actinopteri; Syngnathiformes; Syngnathidae.
UGUAUAUGAUGAAAAAAUUGUCCCUGAUAAUGGCUGAGGGUAAAAACUGAUUUAAUGAGCCUGAUGC